CCCUACGGGGGGCAGCAGUAGGGAAUCUUCCACAAUGGACGAAAGUCUGAUGGAGCAACGCCGCGUGAGUGAAGAAGGGUUUCGGCUCGUAAAGCUCUGUUGGUAGUGAAGAAAGAUAGAGGUAGUAACUGGCCUUUAUUUGACGGUAAUUACUUAGAAAGUCACGGCUAACUACGUGCCAGCAGCCGCGGUAAUACGUAGGUGGCAAGCGUUGUCCGGAUUUAUUGGGCGUAAAGCGAGUGCAGGCGGUUCCAAAAAGCUUGUGUGUAAGCCCUUCG
This 278-nucleotide ribosomal RNA is filed under the name uncultured bacterium. Its description in RNAcentral is "partial 16S ribosomal RNA". It matches the Rfam family "Bacterial small subunit ribosomal RNA", at positions 337 to 607 of the family's 1533-position model. The record is from RNAcentral.